AACUUGACACCCCCUAAGUAAAUUUAGUGAACGUAACUGCUGAUUCAGCAUCACCCUGCAAGGACCAUGGAUCGAACCCGAAAUCUGCCGAUGUCUGUUGGCGCUCCAUCGAACCGCGAUCUGACCGUAGGACUAAUCGGGGCCAUCGUAUCGCUCUCCGUCACCAUGUAUCAGAAUAUGGCGAACAACAUCGAAGACGCGGAACUGCUUCAAUUCAUGGUCCCAAUUCAGCAGCUGUUGAGUAGACUAAUUCUUCGGCUCAAAAAGCCAGCCACUCCGCGUUUAACUGCUGGAACAACUCCGAGAAGAACUGCCGCUGGUGCGAGGGCCAGUCCAUCUACUCCCAAGCGUCCACUUCAGACCCAACCUCGCCAGUUACUAACGACGCCCAGGACAGAUCGUACGAGAACCUUCAACUCUACCACCAAUCGUACACCGGCCUCGGAUAUCCCUCCUGGAUGGCGUGAAAUUUCAAAUCUGGACGACUACUUUGACGAAUCUUCCGGAAUGGAACUGGGAAUGGGUAGCGAAGGCACGUUCGAUGAAACUCCAGUGAUUAGUGGCUUCGAGUACUCGCAGGACAUGGAUUACUACCCCUCGUUGAACCCGAACGUAGCGGACCUAGAAUCGAGUGACCAGUUCUUGCCAGUUCAUCAGAGUACCCGGCGGCAUUUCGAUGACACCUAUAUUCGACAAUCACCGGCUGCUGCUGGUGCGCGAAUGCCCAAAAGAGUGGAAGAGCUGCGAAGUGCAAGUGGUUCUUCGAAACGGACUUUCCGUAAGGCGGAUGGUACUUACGCUGUGAGAGAAACGAUCAACACUACCAAGCCAGAUGGCAGCUUCCAACGCAUUACCAGGACUGUGAGUGGACCCAACGUGUCCGCGAUUCAAAAUUUAAGUGACAGCGUACCUGAGUUACCGAGUUUGGAUCGUACAAGGACGGUUCCGGGGUCCGGUUCAGGAGCAGGACCAACGGCUAAUGUCACUUUUGAUAUCAACCCGCCCCCUUCAUAGUGCUGCAGGGGGUUUGAGAAAUCUGAGAGUGAUCGCACAUUCUGAGCUUUAUUUUGUGAUAGUUUUUGUUACAUUUUUGGUUUGAAGAAUGCAAUAAAUUAUACGAGUAUUUUAGUGAAA
RNAcentral lists this long non-coding RNA (1134 nucleotides) under Aedes aegypti (yellow fever mosquito). RNAcentral's name for it is "uncharacterized LOC125446263 (LOC125446263)". The record is from RNAcentral. Lineage: Eukaryota; Metazoa; Arthropoda; Insecta; Diptera; Culicidae.